UUUGAUUAUGGCUCAGGACGAACGCUGGCGGCGUGCCUAAUACAUGCAAGUAGAACGCUGAAGAGAGGAGCUUGCUCUUCUUGGAUGAGUUUGCGAACGGGUGAGUAACGCGUAGGUAACCUGCCUUGUAGCGGGGGAUAACUAUUGGAAACGAUAGCUAAUACCGCAUAACAAUAGGUGACACAUGUCAUUUAUUUGAAAGGGGCAAUUGCUCCACUACAAGAUGGACCUGCGUUGUAUUAGCUAGUAGGUGAGGUAACGGCUCACCUAGGCGACGAUACAUAGCCGACCUGAGAGGGUGAUCGGCCACACUGGGACUGAGACACGGCCCAGACUCCUACGGGAGGCAGCAGUAGGGAAUCUUCGGCAAUGGGGGCAACCCUGACCGAGCAACGCCGCGUGAGUGAAGAAGGUUUUCGGAUCGUAAAGCUCUGUUGUAAGUCAAGAACGAGUGUGAGAGUGGAAAGUUCACACUGUGACGGUAGCUUACCAGAAAGGGACGGCUAACUACGUGCCAGCAGCCGCGGUAAUACGUAGGUCCCGAGCGUUGUCCGGAUUUAUUGGGCGUAAAGCGAGCGCAGGCGGUUUGAUAAGUCUGAAGUUAAAGGCUGUGGCUCAACCAUAGUUCGCUUUGGAAACUGUCAAACUUGAGUGCAGAAGGGGAGAGUGGAAUUCCAUGUGUAGCGGUGAAAUGCGUAGAUAUAUGGAGGAACACCGGUGGCGAAAGCGGCUCUCUGGUCUGUAACUGACGCUGAGGCUCGAAAGCGUGGGGAGCGAACAGGAUUAGAUACCCUGGUAGUCCACGCCGUAAACGAUGAGUGCUAGGUGUUGGAUCCUUUCCGGGAUUCAGUGCCGCAGCUAACGCAUUAAGCACUCCGCCUGGGGAGUACGACCGCAAGGUUGAAACUCAAAGGAAUUGACGGGGGCCCGCACAAGCGGUGGAGCAUGUGGUUUAAUUCGAAGCAACGCGAAGAACCUUACCAGGUCUUGACAUCCCGAUGCUAUUUCUAGAGAUAGAAAGUUACUUCGGUACAUCGGUGACAGGUGGUGCAUGGUUGUCGUCAGCUCGUGUCGUGAGAUGUUGGGUUAAGUCCCGCAACGAGCGCAACCCCUAUUGUUAGUUGCCAUCAUUCAGUUGGGCACUCUAGCGAGACUGCCGGUAAUAAACCGGAGGAAGGUGGGGAUGACGUCAAAUCAUCAUGCCCCUUAUGACCUGGGCUACACACGUGCUACAAUGGUUGGUACAACGAGUUGCGAGUCGGUGACGGCAAGCUAAUCUCUUAAAGCCAAUCUCAGUUCGGAUUGUAGGCUGCAACUCGCCUUCAUGAAGUCGGAAUCGCUAGUAAUCGCGGAUCAGCACGCCGCGGUGAAUACGUUCCCGGGCCUUGUACACACCGCCCGUC
This 1403-nucleotide ribosomal RNA is filed under the name uncultured bacterium. RNAcentral describes it as "bacterial SSU rRNA". It matches the Rfam family "Bacterial small subunit ribosomal RNA". The record is from RNAcentral.